This is a long non-coding RNA of Haplochromis burtoni (Burton's mouthbrooder), 919 nucleotides long. RefSeq lists it as uncharacterized. NCBI's taxonomy places the organism in Eukaryota, Metazoa, Chordata, Actinopteri, Cichliformes, Cichlidae. The record is from RefSeq and is a predicted model, not a curated record. The transcript is spliced from 4 exons.
UCUGAUUGGCUGCUACCUGAUGAAGCACUUCCGGUUUACUGCAGCCGAGGCGAUUGUUUGGAUCAGAAUCUGCAGACCUGGAUCUAUCAUCGGUCCACAGAAAAACUUCUUAGAAGAGAAGCAGCACAGUUUGUGGGUUCAGGGUGACGUGCAUCGGUCUAAACAGAAGCUGGUCCAACAGAGACUGAGUCAGCAACAGCAGCUUCACCGCUCUGACUCUGUGCAGGGAGGGAACAGGAGGCAGUGUCCUCGCUGCUUUCCAGCAUGGAUGACCUGUCAAUCAACACCGUGCUCUGCAAGUCAUAUAGCUUGGAUGACGUCAGCGGUGUGACUUCAUAGCAUCAACAUGACCUUUUUUAAUGGUUACUGCAGAAUUCAAACAGGCUACUGAGUUAUGAUCACAAUGUUGUGUUUUCAUGCUGCUAAUUGUGUCUUUCUUUCUGUGUCUGUGCAGAAUAACUGCAAAGAAGUCAGUCUGACACAGGGAGACAAACUGAGAGCACUGUAGGGAAACACCCACCGAGAUCAGCGUCAUCCUGCUCAAGGUUAAACCUGUCCAAGACUUCACACUGCUCCAUCCUCCCUCCCCCGAAGCCCUCCAAAGUCCACCUUUCUCUCACCCCCUCUUCUACUAAAAAGCUGAGACAAAGUUCCUCUACCACCACUGCUCCGCAGAUCAGGAGUCCCUUCAGCCUCACUUUGUUUAGCACUAGGCCAGCACUGAUUCACUGACUUCACACUUGGGACGUUCUGGUUAUGAAUCAGCCCAGCUGAUGAUGGACUCGCUGGAAACUGGAUCAGCCCUCUUGCACGUUUAAUAGGCUGUAAAUCCUUUUUUAGCCCCAAUAACUACUUUUCGUUUUGAUAGACAGAGCCAACAGUUUGUCACCACUUUAACUGGUCACGUGGCCCAUUCUGU